Non-coding RNA from Odocoileus virginianus texanus, 3229 nucleotides. The record is from RefSeq and is a predicted model, not a curated record. Lineage: Eukaryota; Metazoa; Chordata; Mammalia; Artiodactyla; Cervidae.
CAUGCGUGCCCGCGGGGCGGGCAGGGAGCGCAGCACCUCAGCCUUUCAGUGAUAAACGCCAGCGAACCCCUGCUCCCCACCGCCUGGCUGUCAGGUACUGGGGCCAUCACACAGCCACAGGAGAGAAGCACCCCCUGGAGCCGGGGUGCUGGGGAGCGUGGCGGCCCUGCAGACACUGUGUUAGACUCGGGGAGCUCACAUUCCUAGGAGCCACAGACAAGCACGUAAGCGCCGACUUUUGGGAGUACUUGCAGUGUUCUAAGUUAAAGCCUUAGACUUAACUCGCCCAACAAUCCUACGAACGGUGCUGUAUGACCUCCAUUUCUGUGUAGACAAGCAGGCUGAGGCACAGGAAGGUUACGUAAUUUGUCCAAGGUUAUUUGAGUAGAAAGUGGUAGACUGGUCUUUAGCCCAAGAAGUCUGACUGUCAAGCUAGCAUUCGUAACCUCCCUCCUGCCCCCAGCGCCCCUCCAGAGAAGACAAUCCCAGCAGUGACGCUUGGAACAUAUCAUAAUGGGGGGGCAGAGUGGACACUCGCAUCUUCGCCUCCUCUAGGUGGCUGUCUCUAAGGUUCUCCCAGGCUCCUGGCAGCUUGCUCUGUUCUCCCCCGACUAGACUCCCCCCACUACAGUCCUGGAGUCUGCCCAGAAGACACACCCCUGCGUGGCCUCUGGCCCUCGGGCCGGGAGCAGGUGAACAAACAGGCUGUGGCAUGACUCAUCCCGGAUCUCCGCAGGAGCCUGCUGGAUCAGCUAGCUGGUUCCCAGGCACUGGUACCGACGAACAGACAGACAAAGACACAUACACAUCCCGAAGCCACAUGGAGUUUGCUGUCAGCUGGCACAAGUCUUUCAGAGGACACUGAAUUCUUUCUGCCCUAGACUCUCCUACCCAGCAACCCCGACAGAUGACGUCCUCACCCCACCCGGCACUACCAACUUCAAAACAGCGUCCCCUUCACAAGCACUGCAAUGCAGCAACCACUGACCUAACUACUCUGAUCUCCAGGUCACACGGGGCGGGCCCCUCACUGUGACGCCCCCAGAGCCAGUGACCUGCCAAUUCAGCUCUCACUCCACCUGGCUCACAGUCCACUGCAGAAACCCUACCUGACCCGUCGAUCAGCUCGAAACUUCAGCAUCUUUUUGGCAGCUCUGGCCCCUGUGCGGCAGCCUCAGAGGACCCGGCAGCCAGCCUGCUCGUAGCAUCCCUCUGAGAAAUGCAAUAUGAUAAAUCCCAGCUGGAGGCUGUCAGAUCUGCUUGGGGCAAGGAGGCUUGCAUCGUUGUUAGCUACUCUGAACUCUCCAGAGACUGAAGAUGGUCACAUCUCCUCUUUUCCUGAUGUCCUCCAUGUCUUACAGUGCAAGGGCCCUCCUUGCAAGGGGCUUCUGACAGUCAUCUCUUCCAAGCCCCUGCCACCAGCAGGCUUGCUCUGCAAUCCGUCUCAGUAAGUGCCUUGGCUGUUUGUGAAGGGUUUCAGUAAAGGAUGCUCCAGACCCACCAUUAUGUUACACUGUCUGAGAUGUUUUCUUUUUUUUUACAGAUGUUCUUUUUUGAUAUCAAAUUUUAGUUUCUCUAGCUUUGGCUAUUGUUCCAUUUUUAUCUUCAGAUGACAGAAUCCUUUCUGACCAAUGUGGUUCCUUUCAGCAGCGCCAGGCAUUCCGUUGACAUCACAGUCUGUUGUUGCAGCAAUUUUGUGAUGUCAACAGACACUGAAAGGGAGGAGCUAAUCUAAUUGUUUGGUUUGAAGACUGAGCCCAGUCAGAGAACAAUGCAAUCAGUGAGUAGAAAAGACAACAUUAUUACUUAACCCGUGAUGAGACAAGCUGGUCGGAUAUAGCUGGGGCUGAUAUUUAAGCAACUAAUCCUAAAUCCAAAAGGACGUCAAAGGCCUCCAUUUCUCAAGGACAAAUGGUUAUGACUCUACCUCCAAAUGGACUGCUCAAAUUCCUCCCAAGGGAAGGGGGACUCUCAAGCAGUAAAGGGGCAGGAGCAUCCCUAAACUGCUGAGUUGCCCACGAGGUGGUCCCCUCACCUACUACACCUACAAAGGUGGCCCCAAUGGCCAUCAGUGAUAAGAGAACUGGAAGGACUGAUCUUUCAGUCUAAGGUCCAACACGAGAGGGGCUUCUCUGGCCCUUGUUCUCUCAUGUGCAAAGGAGGUACUUUCUAUUUCUAUGAAAUAAUAACUAGAAACUUUCAAAAUGUGAAACAUUUAAUAUAUAAGACAUAAUGACUAUAUUAUUCUGCUUAAAAACAAAUCAAGAUAUAUGCUGAGUACUGGAGCUAGAAAAUGAAAACCACAGUCUCGGGCUUAAGAAGGCUGUGAAUGUAGCAGGGGCUGGCAUUCCAGAAGUACCAAAACCAAUAAAUUACAAAGAAAAGAGACAGAGCCUCUCCCUUUUCUAAGCAUUGUCCCUUCAUCUAGUUUGGGCUUUUCCACAGUUCAAGAGACACCUGCAGCCUCUAAGUGCAGACGCUAGUGACAGCAUCACUACGGAGUUAACUGUGUGCUGACCGAUCUCCAAACAAACUCCCUAAGAAUCUGCAUCUCUCUGGAAUGAUACCUGGCACUAUGCAGUCAAAAGCAGCAAAAGCAACCCAGAUGUUCAGGACCCUUUGCAGACAUGCAUGUUCACAGACGUGUACACACACACAUACGUACUCAGAAUGGACAGCUCCCACCGUGAUAAAUACUGAACAACGAGAGAGAUACAUUCAACUCCUUCCACCUUGAGCUCCUCUUGGUUACUUGCAAAACACCAAGCUGCUGCAACCCCAGAGCUCCUGAGAAUGAGUGCCAGCCAGGUUUUUCCAUCCCAACAAAGCUCUGGCUUUUGGCCUUACAGCUCAUUAGAUGGAGAGAGGACUUUGAGGUGAGGUGAGCGGGGAGGAGGGCUGCCACAACCCACCCCUCCCACUUCCUUCUUCCCCCAGCUCACAAAUUCCAAGCUGAGGCUGUCCACUCACAGGAAAAUUUCUGCAGCCUGCAAAGGAAGUGAAGGUCGGGCUCCCGCUCUCCACCUCCCCUCUGGAUGUCAUCAUCAUUUCAAGGAGCUUGAUGUGCUCCACUUUUCUGUCCCAAUUAAAAACCAACUUGGUUAACAUUCCCAACAAUCCUGAUGUGCCUGAUUCCUGAGGUUCCCCCCUCUCAUCCACCUCCAUCAUUCCUAGGAAAAAAUACGCUUCCCUAGCCAAGCUCUCCCCACCCAAACCCCUCUGCUCUCCC